CCGGAACACAGACACUUCCUGUUAUCCUACAACCGGACCUGUGUCACACCAGUGUCACACAGACACCACGCCACUUUUGGAGGAUCGCUGGCAUGUUUGAAUAACGUUAUUCUGAAAGAUAGCAUAGCACACAAUGUCUAUCUUUAAAUUCACUGUUGUUUCAAAUUGUCGGGUUAUAUGUUAAUUGUCGGGUUCACAUCUGACGACAUUAGCCUACGUCGUCGGAUGUCUCUGGAGUGAAGCCAGUGAAGUCCCCGGAGAACAAUGGCUGCCUGUCAACGGUUGUCUGACUUCGGCAAAAAGGUUAUCAAGGAACGUAGUGGUGUACUGGAUGGAGCUGCAAAGCCUAGCACUACCUUACACUGACAGACUUUGACUAGAUUUGGGAAAGAUUCUUGACAAGAUUGUAGUCUUUUAACUAAUAUAAUAUAAUGCCCCUCAUUCAAGUUUUAGGCUACUCAAAAGACUACAAUCUUUCAAGAAUCUUUCCCAAAUCUUGUCAAAGUUUGUCAGUGUAAGGUAGGCUUAAUCAGGAUUUCUGGAGCAAGGAAGCUGAAAGAAACAUUCCAUGACAAAUUGAUUGAUUGGUGCCAGGGACAGGGGUGGCAAUUGCCUCUCAAGGCAGACACCACGUUUGAGAAAAAAGGCCCAGAAGAGAUGUACAAUCAGAAAGUACAGUAAAGUGAAUGUUACUUGAUGGGUUCUUCUUUAGGAUUGCAUACAGAACCACAUAGCACACAAUAGCCACAAGCCUAAUGCAAUGUUUUUGUUUUCUGUAAUUAUUCUUUUUCUAAUAAUACAUACUGUACGUACACAUACAUUCUGUACAUACACUAUAUUGCCAAAAGUAUUUGGUCACCUGCCUUGACCCCCAUAUGAACUUCAGUCACAUCCUAUUCUUAAUUCAUAGGGUUUGAUAUGACGCCAGUCCACUCUUUGUACCUAUAACAGCUUCAACUCUUCAGGGAAGGCUUUCCACAAGGUUUAGGAGUGUGUUUUUGGGCAUUUUUGACCAUUCUUUCAGAAGUGCAUUUGUGAGGUCACACACUGAUGUUGGACAGGCUCUCAGUCUGUGCUCUAAUUCAUUCGUAAACACACUUCUAAACCUUGUGGAAAGCCUUCCCUGAAGAGUUGAAGAUGUUAUAGCUGCAAAGGGUGGACCAAUGUCAUAUUAAGC
Molecule: long non-coding RNA, 1177 nt
Organism: Sardina pilchardus (European sardine)
Lineage: Eukaryota; Metazoa; Chordata; Actinopteri; Clupeiformes; Clupeidae
Exons: 4
Source: RefSeq, a predicted model, not a curated record